RNAcentral lists this long non-coding RNA (310 nucleotides) under Phoenix dactylifera (date palm). RNAcentral describes it as "long non-coding RNA (PDAC_LNC008404)". The record is from RNAcentral. Lineage: Eukaryota; Viridiplantae; Streptophyta; Magnoliopsida; Arecales; Arecaceae.
GGGAGUCGACUCGACUUAACCCGGAGUCGACUCGCCAAAAUCUGGAGCUGACCUUGCACUUUUGGAGUCAGCUCAUUCAAAGGAAUUCAUAGAGAUAUUCUUCAACUUCACUUACUCGAGUCGACUCGGAAAUUCUGGGAGUCGACUCGGCGCUCAGAGCCCGAACUCCCGAUCUUCUAUCUUUUGGCUCGUGCAGUCUUGGAGUCGACUCGAACUGUUCCGGAGUCGACUCGGCUCUCAGUAUCCGAAAAACAGUCUUCUGUCUUUUUGGAGUAGCGCUGCCUUGGAGUCGACUCGAACUGUCUUGGAG